RNAcentral lists this long non-coding RNA (374 nucleotides) under Rhinopithecus bieti (black snub-nosed monkey). Its description in RNAcentral is "lncRNA (ENSRBIG00000045554.1)". The record is from RNAcentral. Lineage: Eukaryota; Metazoa; Chordata; Mammalia; Primates; Cercopithecidae.
CAGGGUCUCAACAAACCACCAAACUCAGUUCGCUUGUGCCUUCUCUCUAAUUUACACCCUGGAUCCCUGAGAUCUGGAUCUCAGAGUUCUCAAAGCUACAGGCUACCCAAGGCUGUUGGUGGGGACACUAAAGUACAGGCCUAUUUCAACAACAACAAUGACAACAGUAUGGACAAUGACAACAUAGUGGACACGAGUCUUCAGCCUUGUAUCCCAAUGCCAAGCCUACCUCCACCCACCUUUUUCCAUGAUCCCUGUCAAGGGAAGAAGAAUUGCUAAUCUGAAUAAUGACAAUCUAAAACACUGAGUGAGUUAUGGUUACCAAAAGGCAGUAUCACUGUGUUAAACAGCCUUUCCAUUUCUUCCUAGCUCUG